Non-coding RNA from Pelobates cultripes (western spadefoot toad), 291 nucleotides. Lineage: Eukaryota; Metazoa; Chordata; Amphibia; Anura; Pelobatidae. The record is from the annotation of a GenBank genome assembly.
CCAGCCAGAGGCAACCCACAUCAGUGGCAACAAUUCUCCCUCCCAUACUGGGGACUCGAUAAACAGACAAAUAGAGAGACACAACAGACCUCAUACCAUACACCCAAAACCUCACCUUGUAGGUCAAAACCCUAGAACACACGCAACACUACACAUGCCUGAUCUGCACUCCAGGACAACACACUCACUGGCUCCCUCUGGACCAGUCAUGCCCGGCUUGAUAGCUGAUACCAUGACUAUAAAAUAAUUCAAAUGUGCAAUGUUUACUAAUGCCAACCUACGGAUGAAAAC